This 496-nucleotide ribosomal RNA is filed under the name uncultured eukaryote. RNAcentral's name for it is "bacterial SSU rRNA". It matches the Rfam family "Eukaryotic small subunit ribosomal RNA", at positions 14 to 489 of the family's 1831-position model. The record is from RNAcentral.
CUGACGGUAGUCGUAUGCUCGUCUCCGAGACUAAGCCAUGCAAGUCCAAGUACACGUCCUUGAACGACGGAAACUGCGAACGGCUCAUUAAAUCAGUUGCGAUCUACUCGGCGUUCCGCGCCGCCGGAUAACCGUAGUAAUUCUAGGGCUAAUACGUGCGAAGCGCCCGAAGCCGCGAGGCGACGGGCGUUCUCGCCGGAUGUAGGAACCGACCCGGGGACCGCCGGGGCAACCCGGCGCCCCCGAGACGGGGCGAACCACGGUGAAAUGACGGAUCGUCGGCCCCGCGCCGGCGACUCGCCGAAUGAGUUUCUGACCUAUCAACUCGAGACGGCGGGGUAGAGGCCCGCCGCGGUAACGACGGGUAACGGGGAAUCAGGGUUCGAUUCCGGAGAGGGAGCCCGAGAAACGGCUACCACUUCCAAGGAAGGCAGCAGGCGCGCAACUUACCCUAAUCUCGAUUCGAGGAGGUAGUGACAAGAAAUACCGAUGCGGA